CUCCGCUUGGUGUAGUUGGUUUAUCACGUUCGGCUGUAAAAGCAAUUGUAACCGAAAGGUCCCUAGUUCGAUUCUGGGAGCGGAGA
Westerdykella ornata is the source of this 86-nucleotide non-coding RNA. NCBI's taxonomy places the organism in Eukaryota, Fungi, Ascomycota, Dothideomycetes, Pleosporales, Sporormiaceae. The record is from the annotation of a RefSeq genome assembly.